GAUAAAUUGCCUGAUUAAAGGGUUAAUUUGAUAGAUUAAAUUAUGUUAGAUUUAUA
This 56-nucleotide transfer RNA is filed under the name Parachtes riberai. RNAcentral describes it as "tRNA-Ile". The record is from RNAcentral. Lineage: Eukaryota; Metazoa; Arthropoda; Arachnida; Araneae; Dysderidae.